Molecule: ribosomal RNA, 304 nt
Filed under: uncultured bacterium
Lineage: Bacteria
Description: bacterial SSU rRNA
Rfam family: Bacterial small subunit ribosomal RNA
Source: RNAcentral
GACGAACGCUGGCGGUGUGCCUCAUACAUGCAAGUCGAACGAGAAGAGAAAGCUUGCUUUCUCGGAAAGUGGCGGACGGGUGAGUACAACAUAGGAAAUCUGCCUUUAGGUGGGGGACAACAGAGGGAAACUUCUGCUAAUACCCCAUAUGAGCGUAGCUGAAAUGCUAUUCUUGAAAGUUCCGGCGCCUAAAGAUGAGCCUGUGCCUGAUUAGCUAGUUGGUGGUGUAAUGGGCUACCAAGGCGACGAUCAGUAGCUGGUUUGAGAGGAUGAUCAGCCACAAUGGGACUGAGACACGGCCCAU